AUGCAUACUAGCUACGGCCCUGUUCAUAACUUAUAUAGUGAAGAAGCACAAAAAACUUUCUUCAGUAGAAGAGAUAGCGAAACUGUUCUGCUAAUUCUGUGUGCCUUAUUUUAAUGUUUGAAAUUAAUAAAAGGUUGCUUUAUUGCUUGUGUUUGAUUUUAAAUUAGGUUAUAAGUAGGCAAGUGCCAUUUCGUUUUUGUUUCUGCCCUUUUUUAAAAAAUAUGCCUUUCUGAUAGCAAAACGCACCCCUCGCCCUCAGCAAUUUCCGGCAUCCCAGAGUAUUUCUGUAUAGUUUUGGUCAGUUUUGCGGUUAAAUCCACAUAUUUUUUUCAGUUUUUUUUAAAUCCACAUAAUUUUUUUGGCCUAACGACGACCUAACUCACGAUCUAUAAUCUAAUAACAGAAAUUAAUAAACCUUAUGGAGUUAUGGGACGCGGCAAAGACAUGUUUUUAACCGUAUUUUUUCCAUGCGGUAUUUACAAUUUUUUUUUGCGGUGAUGCGGUGUCCUCGAACGCAUUUGUACGGUGUUGCGGUGUUGCGGAACCCCCAAUGACCCAACUGGGCUGUCUUAGAAUUCAUGAAAGACCUUUGCUACAACCCCAAGAAAACAUGCCUUUUAUCAGGAGAUCAAUUAAAUUCUCUGCUUCAACCAGAU
This is a non-coding RNA of Paramuricea clavata, 656 nucleotides long. The record is from the annotation of a GenBank genome assembly. NCBI's taxonomy places the organism in Eukaryota, Metazoa, Cnidaria, Anthozoa, Malacalcyonacea, Plexauridae.